This is a long non-coding RNA of Micropterus dolomieu (smallmouth bass), 309 nucleotides long. RefSeq lists it as uncharacterized. The record is from RefSeq and is a predicted model, not a curated record. The transcript is spliced from 3 exons. NCBI's taxonomy places the organism in Eukaryota, Metazoa, Chordata, Actinopteri, Centrarchiformes, Centrarchidae.
UGUGUAUCUGCACUCUCCAGUCUGGACCAGUCACCAAACCACCUGUUGACUUCUCUACUCACCUGAGAGUCAUCCCACUAUCAACUCCUGCAGUUCACUUCCGGUGAUACACUUGCUGAAGCCUCGUUGAAUUAGUCACAUUCAUGGAGGUAACAGCUGGCAGGCACCACCACACUGUCACACUGGACUGUAAUCCAGGAGGGCUGUGAACAGAGAUUGAAUAUGUGGGGGAGAUGGUUACAUGCAGGCUGUGACUGCGUCAUCCACUACUGAUGUGCCGAUCGGGAACGAGUCGGCCCAGCUCCCAUC